AGAAGUAAAUAAGGGCGUAUGGGGAAUGCCUUGGCUCUCGGAGGCGACGAAGGACGUGAUAAGCUGCGAUAAGCUACGGGGAUUCGCAAAUAGAAAUUGAUCCGUAGAUUUCCGAAUGGGGCAACCCAGCAUGUUGAAGACAUGUUACCUAGUAAUAGGAGCAAACCCAGGGAACUGAAACAUCUAAGUACCUGGAGGAAGAGAAAACAAUUUAGUGAUUGCGCAAGUAGUGGCGAGCGAACGCGCAAGAGCCCAAACCUAGUUAGUUACGGCUAGCUAGGGGUUAUAGGACCACAUAAUUAGAGGUAUAUCAAGCGGAACCGGGUGGGAAACCGGACGAUACAGGGUGAGAGUCCCGUACGCGUACAGUAUACUGAUAUGGUGGUAUCCUGAGUAGGGCCGGGUUGGAGACGCCCGGUUUGAAUUUGCCAGCACCAUCUGGUAAGGCUAAAUACUUCCGAGAGACCGAUAGAGAACCAGUACUGUGAAGGAAAGGUGAAAAGUACCGUGAAUAACGGGGUGAAAUAGAACCUGAAACCGUACGCCUACAAGCGGUCGGAGCUUCUAAAUGGAGUGACGGCGUGCCUUUUGCAUAAUGAGCCUACGAGUUGCUCCUCACUGGCGAGGUUAAGUUCGUGAACGAAUGGAGCCGCAGCGAAAGCGAGUCCGAAUAGGGCGGAUAGUCAGUGGGGGCAGACGCGAAACUUUGUGAUCUACCCUUGGUCAGGAUGAAGUUCCGGUAACACGGGAUGGAGGUCCGAACUAGUAAACGUUGAAAAGUUUUUGGAUGAACUGAGGGUAGGGGUGAAAGGCUAAUCAAACUGAGAAAUAGCUCGUACUCCCCGAAAUGCCUUUAGGGGCAGUGUGGAGGUUAAGUUUAAUACAGGUAGAGCUACCAAUAGGACUAGGGGGAGUCACAUCCUACCAAAUCCUGAUGAACUCCGAAUGGUAUUAAAUAUACUCUGCAAUGAGGGCAUGGGUGCUAAGGUCCGUGUCCGAGAGGGAAAGAACCCAGACCUACAGCUAAGGUCCCAAAAUCUAGAUUAAGUUGAACUAAGGCGGUUCAGUUGCACAGACAGCCAGGAUGUUUGCUUGGAAGCAGCAAUUCAUUUAAAGAGUGCGUAACAGCUCACUGGUCGAGCGACAGAGCAUCGAUAAUAAUCGGGCAUCAAAUCUAGUACCGAAGCUUAGGAUUGUAGUAAUACAGUGGUAGGGGAGCAUUCUAACAGCGGCGAAGUCGUCUGGUAAUGGACGGUGGAGCGGUUAGAAAAGCAAAUGUAGGCAUAAGUAACGAUAAUGCAUGCGAGAAACAUGCACACCGAUAGACUAAGGUUUCCUGAUCAACGCUAAUCGGAUCAGGGUUAGUCGGGACCUAAGGAAAAGCCGAAAGGUGUAUUCGAUGGCCAACAAGUUAAUAUUCUUGUACCUGUCUUAUAAGUGAUGGAGAGACGGAGUAGUGAAAGAUCUGCGCACUGACGGAAUAGUGCGUUAAAGCCUGUAGGUAUAGGUUGCGUAGUAAAAUGCGCGCGACUUGCUAAAGGGUGAUAGUACCAAGAGGCUUCGGCCAAUUGGAUAAUGAUCCUAAUCAGACUUCCAAGAAAAUCUUCUAAGCGCUAAUUAUAAGUCAGCCCGUACCGCAAACCGACACAGGUAGUCAAGGAGAGAAUCCUAAGGUGCUCGAGUGAGUCAUGGCUAAGGAACUAGGCAAAUUAACCCUGUAACUUCGGGAAAAGGGGUGCCUCCUCCAGUAAUGGAGAGGUCGCAGAGAAAUGGCCCAGGCGACUGUUUAACAAAAACACAUGGCUAUGCGAAAACGAAAGUUGAAGUAUAUGGCCUGACACCUGCCCGGUGCUGGAAGGUUAAGGGGGGAUGUUAGCCGCAAGGCGAAGCAUUGAACUGAAGCCCCAGUAAACGGCGGCCGUAACGAUAACGGUCCUAAGGUAGCGAAAUUCCUUGUCGGGUAAGUUCCGACCUGCACGAAUGGUGUAACGAUCUGGGCACUGUCUCAGCCAUGAGCUCGGUGAAAUUGUAGUCACGGUGAAGAUGCCGUGUACCCGUCACGGGACGGAAAGACCCCAUGCACCUUUACUAUAGCUUCGCAUUGACAUUGGGUACGUGAUGUGUAGGAUAGGCGGGAGGCAUUGAUCCUGGGCCGCUAGGUCUAGGGGAGUCGACGGUGAAAUACCGCCCUUUAUAUACUUGAUGUCUAACCCGGGAAACCGGGGACAGUACGUGGUGGGUAGUUUGACUGGGGUGGUCGCCUCCGAAAGUGUAUCGGAGGCUUUCAAAGGUAUGUUCAGUACGCUUGGUAACCGUACGUGGAGUGCAAUAGCAUAAACAUGCUUGACUGUGAGACUGACAAGUCGAUCAGGAUCGAAAGAUGGAUAUAGUGAUCCGGUGGUUCUGUAUGGAAGGGCCAUCGCUCAAAGGAUAAAAGGUACGCUGGGGAUAACAGGCUGAUCUCCCCCAAGAGCUCAUAUCGACGGGGAGGUUUGGCACCUCGAUGUCGGCUCGUCACAUCCUGGGGCUGGAGAAGGUCCCAAGGGUUAGGCUGUUCGCCUAUUAAAGUGGCACGCGAGCUGGGUUCAGAACGUCGUGAGACAGUUCGGUCCCUAUCUGUGAUGGGCGUAGGAAGUUUGAGAGGUCUUGACCUUAGUACGAGAGGACCGGGUUGAACCAACCGCUGGUGUACCGGUUGUGGCGUCAGCUGCACCGCCGGGUAGCUAUGUUGGGACGAGAUAAGCGCUGAAAGCAUCUAAGCGCGAAACUCACCUCAAGAUGAGACUUCCAUUAAGGGACGUCAGAGAUGAUGACGUUGAUAGGCUGCAGGUGUAAAGGCAGAAAUGUCAAAGCUGAGCAG
RNAcentral lists this ribosomal RNA (2860 nucleotides) under Paris polyphylla var. yunnanensis. Its description in RNAcentral is "bacterial LSU rRNA". It matches the Rfam family "Bacterial large subunit ribosomal RNA". Lineage: Eukaryota; Viridiplantae; Streptophyta; Magnoliopsida; Liliales; Melanthiaceae. The record is from RNAcentral.